Molecule: transfer RNA, 72 nt
Filed under: Leptobrachium boringii (Emei moustache toad)
Lineage: Eukaryota; Metazoa; Chordata; Amphibia; Anura; Megophryidae
Description: tRNA-Tyr
Rfam family: tRNA
About the family: Transfer RNA (tRNA) molecules are approximately 80 nucleotides in length. Their secondary structure includes four short double-helical elements and three loops (D, anti-codon, and T loops).
Source: RNAcentral
UGGUAAAAUGGCCGAGGGUUAGGCGGUAGGUUGUAGCCCUAAUAACAAAGGUUAAAGUCCUUUUUUUACCAG